AAAUGGUAGAAGAGCAGGUUCUGACUUCAGGGUUGGUGCAAAUGUACAAUUUUCUUGUGAGGACAAUUACGUGCUCCAGGGAUCUAAAAGCAUCACCUGUCAGAGAGUUACAGACACGCUCGCUGC
Molecule: small RNA, 126 nt
Filed under: Pongo abelii (Sumatran orangutan)
Lineage: Eukaryota; Metazoa; Chordata; Mammalia; Primates; Hominidae
Description: processed transcript
Source: RNAcentral